Gossypium arboreum is the source of this 434-nucleotide long non-coding RNA. RefSeq lists it as uncharacterized. The record is from RefSeq and is a predicted model, not a curated record. The transcript has 2 exons. NCBI's taxonomy places the organism in Eukaryota, Viridiplantae, Streptophyta, Magnoliopsida, Malvales, Malvaceae.
AAAAUUGAGACUUGGACCUAGAACGGAAAGAAAUCGAUUUAUGGACUAGUAUGUCCUUUUCACAUUUGUGGUAUCGAGAGUUUCCAGGUUAGCUCGGGUUGGAGGCCGUCAGAGAUAUUAUCACCCUAUCGAGUUAACGUUAUCGGAGUAAGUAAACUCAAGUGAUUCGAGUCUAUGGCAUGUAUAGGGUUUUAAUGUGAGUAUGUAAUAUUAUGAUUUAGCCAAAUUCAUUGGCUUGUUAUUAAGGUAGUAUUAGUCAUGUAAAUUGGCCUAUGUCGGCUAAUGACAUUAUGGGCCCAUAUGAUUAUUCUUAUGCAUGUAUGUUAUUAUCUCUUGUGAUGUGGCUUACAACAUGUAUGCCUAGAGAUUGAAUUGAGAUUCAUUGAUGAGCUAGUAACUAAUGCAGGAUUAAGUGAUUGGUAAAUAGUUAAUAA